Molecule: ribosomal RNA, 278 nt
Filed under: uncultured prokaryote
Description: partial 16S ribosomal RNA
Rfam family: Bacterial small subunit ribosomal RNA
Source: RNAcentral
UACGUAUGGGGCGAGCGUUGUUCGGAAUUAUUGGGUGUAAAGGGCGUCUAGGCGGGAGAUUAAGUUAGAUGUGAAAGGCGUGGGCUUAACCCACGAAUUGCAUCUAAAACUGGUUUUCUUGAGUUCGGGAGAGGAGAGCGGAAUUCUUGGUGUAGCGGUGAAAUGCGUAGAUAUCAAGAAGAACACCAGUGGCGAAGGCGGCUCUCUGGCCUAGAACUGACGCUGAAGCGCGAAAGCGUGGGUAGCGAACGGGAUUAGAUACCCGCGUAGUCCCUGAG